UAAUACAACUCUUUCCGCCAGAGAACUACAAGUGAAAAACUUGAAACUCAAAGGACUUGACGGUGUCCCAUAUCGGCCUAGAGGAGCCUGUCCUAUAAUCGAUACCCCCCGUUCCACCCAACCCCAACUAGCAAACAUACCAGCCUAUAUACCGCCGUCGACAGUUUACCCUAUGAAGGUCUAAUAGUAGACACAACAGCCUCUAACGCUAAUACGUCAGGUCAAGGUG
Molecule: ribosomal RNA, 229 nt
Filed under: Podarcis hispanicus (Iberian wall lizard)
Lineage: Eukaryota; Metazoa; Chordata; Lepidosauria; Squamata; Lacertidae
Description: partial 12S ribosomal RNA
Source: RNAcentral